GAUGAACGCUGGCGGCGUGCUUAACACAUGCAAGUCGAACGGAAAGGCCCAAGCUUGCUUGGGUACUCGAGUGGCGAACGGGUGAGUAACACGUGGGUGAUAUGCCCUGCACUUCGGGAUAAGCCUGGGAAACUGGGUCUAAUACCGGAUAGGACCACAUUUUGGAUGGUGUGGUGGAAAGUUUUUCGGUGUGGGAUGAGCUCGCGGCCUAUCAGCUUGUUGGUGGGGUAAUGGCCUACCAAGGCGUCGACGGGUAGCCGGCCUGAGAGGGUGUACGGCCACAGUGGGACUGAGAUACGGCCCAGACUCCUACGGGAGGCAGCAGGGGGGAAUAUUGCACAAUGGGCGCAAGCCUGAUGCAGCGACGCCGCGUGGGGGAUGACGGCCUUCGGGUUGUAAACUCCUUUCGCUAGGGACGAAGCGUUAUGUGACGGUACCUGGAGAAGAAGCACCGGCUAACUACGUG
RNAcentral lists this ribosomal RNA (466 nucleotides) under uncultured bacterium. Its description in RNAcentral is "partial 16S ribosomal RNA". It matches the Rfam family "Bacterial small subunit ribosomal RNA", at positions 28 to 507 of the family's 1533-position model. The record is from RNAcentral.